CAGUAACAAGCCCCUGAAGAUCCCCUACAACUACAGACAUUCUGUUGUUCCUGAAAGCCAGCUGUGCCAGGACAUCCUUCUCAAUGAGACUGUGUCAGAAAUAAAGUCCAAGCAACACUUCAAAGGAGUGAGUUUUGAGGAGAGUUAUAAAAUGGACUGACAAAAUACAUGGACCGGCAAAAUAAGUGUUUCUGGUCAUCACUACAAGGCAGGAGUUAUUGAGUUUGGAGGGUGUAAUCAUACAGAGCCUGAAGAUAAAAUUGUUGGAGAUAUGGGCACACAGAAGACCAAAAUGUGUGAGACAAAGAGAGGUCUUAACCUUCAAUGCUUUCGUGAUGUAGACAGAGACUGUGUCUGUUGGACCGUGGGGCCCUGGGGAUGCAGCGUUGACAUGGCUGCCUCAGAAAAGAGGAAAGCCUCGUCCUGCACGAACAAGGAGAAGGACACGUACAGUGAGUGUCUGACGCCUGACUGCUUUCCGAGGUCAGGUGGCCUGGGGUGACCUCUGGAAGGCUACAGAACAUAACGUGGCAAUGUGCUGGUACUUUAUAUCCUAAAGAGUGUGGAAGACAC
Molecule: long non-coding RNA, 573 nt
Organism: Diceros bicornis minor
Lineage: Eukaryota; Metazoa; Chordata; Mammalia; Perissodactyla; Rhinocerotidae
Exons: 3
Source: RefSeq, a predicted model, not a curated record